This 431-nucleotide ribosomal RNA is filed under the name Trachydactylus hajarensis. Its description in RNAcentral is "partial small subunit ribosomal RNA". It matches the Rfam family "Bacterial small subunit ribosomal RNA", at positions 779 to 1405 of the family's 1533-position model. The record is from RNAcentral. Lineage: Eukaryota; Metazoa; Chordata; Lepidosauria; Squamata; Gekkonidae.
UAGAUACCCUACUAUGCCUAGCCUUAAACUUUGAUAGUAAGACCUACUAUCCGCCAGAGAAUUACGAGCGAAAAGCUUAAAACUCAAAAGACUUGACGGUGCCCCAAACCAACCUAGAGGAGCCUGUCCUAUAAUCGAUGACCCGCGCUUUACCCCACCUGCCCUCGCACAAAUCAGCCAGCCUAUAUACCGCCGCCUUCCAGCCUACCUUACAAAAGUAACACAGCAAGCAAAAUAGCCCCUCCGCUAAAACGUCAGGUCAAGGUGUAGCUAAUGGGCAGGAAAGAGAUGGGCUACAUUCUCUACGCACAUAGACCACCACCCCCGGUAUCAUGAAAACAUACCUCAAAGGAGGAUUUAGUAGUAAUUUAGGCAAGACUUCCUAAAUGAAUCCUGCUCUGGGGCGCGUACACACCGCCCGGUCACCCUCA